Octopus sinensis (East Asian common octopus) is the source of this 3841-nucleotide long non-coding RNA. RefSeq lists it as uncharacterized. The record is from RefSeq and is a predicted model, not a curated record. The transcript is spliced from 2 exons. NCBI's taxonomy places the organism in Eukaryota, Metazoa, Mollusca, Cephalopoda, Octopoda, Octopodidae.
AUACAUAUUUUGCCUGCAGAAAUUGGAAUAUCAAGCACAAAGUCUACGACAGUCAGUUCUUCAGGAACACCUGGCAGAGAAAUCUUUAUUUCUGGAAAACAUCCACAAUAUCCUGUUAUAACACAGAGGAAUCAUCAGACUAAGACAACUCCCUUUGCAAGUGGAAGUUCUCGAAUUGAACAAGGACAUUAUAAAGAUACUGCAACCUCUCUAUACACAGUGCCAUCGUCCAUUUUAAUUCUGAUUACCAUAUUGCCAAUUCUUGAGUUACUCUCUGGAGUGUGAUGCAAUUUUUUCAGCUUGUACAUUUUAUUAAACAACUGGAUUUUUAAAUGUUGCUGCUGCUGCUACUGCUGCUGCCGCCACUCAAAGUCUAAAUACAAGAAAGUAAUGGACUUUUACAUUUUUUUUUUUAAAUUUUGUUUUUCCUCCCAUGAAGAACAAAUCAAUUUUGCUUUUGCCAACACAAAAAUACAAUUUACGAACAGGAAAAAAUUUAAAACUAAGCAUGAAUUUCUAUGAUAAUAACAACAAUAAUAAUAACACCACAACAUAUACAAACAACAACAAUAACAAUAACAGUAACGAUAAUCAUAAUAAUAUUAAUAAUAAAGUGAAAAUAAGUAAAUUUCAUCACACAAAGCAGAAAGUAAAUAAUGGUCAGUGAGCAAACUUUCUAUCAGUUUCAAUAAUUAAGCAAUUGUGAAAGUUGCCAUGGCAAUAUUAACAAACAACAACAACAACACUAUCACUGGCAUCCACAAACACAACUAUAAACAAAAUAGGAAAAUGGAACACACAGCAGCUAGACAAUAGAACAUAAAACACCUGUUUCUGAAGAGUAUCUAAAUACCAAGUAUUGUUUAUACAAUGUAGAGUUGCCAAAGAUACUAUAAUGAUAAUAAUAAUUAGAUUAUAAGGAGAAUGAGAAGUUGCAGUGUUCAUUCAUUCCAAAACAACAUGAAAUUUUAAAUAUUAAAUUCUACAGCAAUUACAAGAAUAAGAGCUGUGUAAUGAGAAGGGAGAUUAAGAAUAAUCAGCAAUAAUAUUAACAUUUAAAAUUCAUCAUAUAUAUAUAUAUAUACAUACACACAUACACAUAUAUAUAUAUAUAUAUGUAUAUAUAUUAUAUAUAUAAUAUAUAUGUAUAUAUAUAUAAUAUAUAUAUAAAUGAGAGGCAAGGUAGGAGAGAGAGAGAGCAAAAUAAAAAGAAUGAGAGACAGCGAGCGAGAGAAAGAUUGCAUGCUAAUGCUUAAUAUAUCGCUGUGAAACAGAAUAAAUAAAUCAAUAAUGGUCUCAUGAACUACAUGAGUAUUCUGUUUUGUGUUUUUUUUUGUAUAUAUAUAAUUGUGUGUAUGUAUAUAAAUAUGUAUGGGUGUGGUUGUGUGUGCAUGUGUGACAUGUAUAUAUGCAUGUGUGUGUGUGUGAUGUAUUAAUGUGUGAGCAUAUAGCAAUAUUCACAUACAUGUGUAUGUAUAUAUAUAUAUAUAUAUAUGUGUAUAUAUAUAUAUAUACACAUAUACAAUGUAGAAUUAUAUAUAUAUAAACAUACAUUACAUGCACACACCCACUCACAGAUAUUCCUAGCAGAUGUCCUUGGAUGGAUAUAUCUAAAGAAUUGUUGAAACUUCAACCAACUCAGAACACUACUGGAAAGUCAUUAGCUUCUUCACAGAUGCUAAAAUUUUCUUUUUAUUCUUAAUAAUAAAGGGAUAAUGUUAGCAACGAUGCUGAUGACAAUGACAACAUCGGCAUUGAAGGUGUUGAUAAUGAUGAAAAAAAUAAUAUAAUGCUUUGUGUUUUUUUUUUUUUUUUUUUUUAAUCCAUUUCUGUUAUACAAGAGAAUGGAAUUCUAACAACCAACAAAGAAAUAGAAAAAUAAUGAAAAGAAUAAAUAAAAACAAGCAAAUUGGAGUAAAGUGCUUCUUAAAUAUGGGAGAAAAAAUAUUACCUAACAAACUGGAAUGGUAUAUUACUGUUGCAUUUUGUAUGUGAUGAUUUUGGUCUUGAAGUGCAAUAUUAUUACAGGUAUCCAUACACAUACACUCUUACAUAAGUUUACUUGUGUAAUAUGCAGACACACAUAAGCAUAUUCAACAUUUACUUUCACUGGUAACUUGAUUUGGACAAUUUGAUGGCAAUAACCUUUGAGAAAUAUUUGACUACAAUUAAAAUAAAGACAAAUUUAACACUAUGUAUAUGACUGGAUGAUAGUCAUAAAAAAACUUCCACUUUGGAAUUUUUUGUUCAUUUAUUUUUGUUUUGUUUUAUUUUUGUUCAACAUAAAGAAAAGAAAAUCUACAUAAAUACUAAAAGAAAAUGAACACCUAUCACUUAUGAGAAACAUGGAAAUAUCUGAUCAACAUCCAAGAAAUGUGCUUGAUAAUUUGCUUGAAAUGUUUAUUUGCAUGAAAAUAUAUUAAGGAAAAAUGGCUUUGAUACAUUUUUUUUUUUUUUUUCCAUAUUCAAAAUCCAUAAAUUCUUUCUCACUUAAUUUCUGUCUGCCUGCCUGUCAUUCUCCAAAUGUAUCAGGUCAUAUCAUGAGUUGCCAUAUAGGGUUAUUUGAUAAUAUUUCUUAUUGUUUCAUGUAAAUAAAGGUGCAUGAAAUAAAACCAAAACCAAAAAAAAAAAAAUAAAGGAAUGUUACUUAUGGAACGACCAGAUAUUCCUGCCACAACUUAUUUGAAUACAAGUAACUGGCUGAGUCCCAUCUUCUUUCUUUUUGCCCCUCAUAGUCAUAUUUUAUCUCUGAACUAAGUAUAAGUGGCUUUUAAUUAACAAAUAUUUUGUUGUAGUUGAUGUUAUUGUUAAUUUGUUAGGUUUCUAUACAUCAGGCAAUUUUUCCUUGUGUUAUGUUGAGCCACUGUAAACUAACUAUGUAAAAAAUCAAAAAAGAAGAAAAAGAGAUAACAGAAAAGUGGCAGCAUUUUAGAAAUGCUGGAAAACUAGAUUUUAUGUUUAUUUUCGUUUCUGCCUUAUAUUUCUUUCCUUCUUUCUCUAUUUUUGUAUCUAAAUGUUCACAUAAUAUUAUCAUAAUUCCUUCCAUAAAUGAAGUUUCACAGUUAGAUAUCUAACAGCAAUAACAAAUCAAAUAAAUGCUGACCAUUAAGGUUUAUUAAACUCCUUCAACAUACCAGACAUCUGAUGUAUUUUGUUGUUUUUAUAGGAGAAAUAUAUUAUAACAUACUAUAAAUAUGUAUUUUUUAUUAAAUUUAGUAAAUAAAGGUUUGUCAUGCUUAACACUCCUUAUGAAACAAUAGACAUAUAUUUCCUUUCUUUCUGCCUUAUGAUGAAUGCUUUUUCUUCAAUCUCUCUCUCUCUCUCUUUUGCUCUCUUUUCCUAAAUCAGUACUUGUUGAUUCUAAAGGGUGCUUUGGCUACAUAUAGUUGUCAGUAACAGUCCCGUGGUAGAUUAAAGUAAUGAAAUGCUUCGACAUAUAUAAACUGCAAAAAUAUAUCCAAUAGAUGUGGAGAUUAAAAUGGAACAAGUUCCUUGCAUUUCAUAAAUAUUUGCAAAAUAGACUUUAAGAUAUACAUGUCAAGUAUUUCAUGUAAAAGGCACUUAAAUUAAAAAUCAUUUGUGGAAUGUCUGUAAAAUACAUAGAAUUAUAAACCCUAACAAAAUUAGCACUUCAUUUGCAAACUUAUUUCUCCAAGACUCCUAUCAGAAAAAGGAAAUUAAAUUUGCAUAUCUUUGCUUCUCAACUUCCUGAAUUUUUAUAUCUUACCAUGGCAGUUGAUCUUCAAGGUAGCUGUUGGUUGAUAUUUCUGCCAGUUAUUGUUUUGUUUGUUAUAAUUCACUGGUUUGUUAUUGUUAAAAUAAGUUAGAGAUGAUAAAUGAU